Molecule: ribosomal RNA, 250 nt
Filed under: uncultured bacterium
Lineage: Bacteria
Description: partial 16S ribosomal RNA
Rfam family: Bacterial small subunit ribosomal RNA
Source: RNAcentral
GCAAGUCGAGCGGUAACGAUCCUAGCUUGCUAGGAGGCGACGAGCGGCGGACGGGUGAGUAACGCGUAGGAAUCUACCCAGUAGUGGGGGAUAGCCCGGGGAAACCCGGAUUAAUACCGCAUACGCCCCACGGGGGAAAGCAGGGGAUCUUCGGACCUUGCGCUAUUGGAUGAGCCUGCGUCGGAUUAGCUAGUUGGUAAGGUAAAAGCUUACCAAGGCGACGAUCCGUAGCUGGUCUGAGAGGAUGAUC